CCCGUGUUAUUUCCCCCUAUUUCAGGACACUGGGUUUCGGUUGGUGUUACUGUUUUUCUCGUGUUGGGGGUAUCCUCGCUCCCUUUGUUAUUGACCUGCAAUCAUCCCCAAUGAGGUCACAUGGUAUAAUUGGCUGUUUUUCGUUGGUUACUGCACUUUUCGCCCUGACGCUCAAAGAGACGAGGGGAAUGGCCAGUUCCGAUACAAGCCUAUGUUACGACAACAAUGGGAUACAGUCAGUCUCCACCGAUACACCUGUCGGCAGCAAUUUGUCGAUACAAGCCCGUGAUACAAGCUACAGCUACAAGAGUUUCGACGGAAGACCUACGAUGAAAAGUGACAUGACACAUGGCUGUUACGACACUGAGACAAACGAAAGGACUCCUAUACUGAAGUAAUUUCCAGUAUUUAUGGACGUACGCAAGCACUUAACAGUACAUAGUGAUAUUUUUCAUAUCGACGUAUUCAAAGCUUGCUUAUUCAUUUGAGUUUGGGCUCAGUAUUGAAAUUUGUUGUCUUAAUUAAAGCUUGUAUUUUAAGAAAUAAGCUUUUUCACUGCGAGAAAUGAGAAAGGUUAGUUGGGUAUUUACAUGUACAAUAUAUACACAGCGUUUUUGAGUUCAUGUCGUUUUGCAUUGUUUUUGUACUGACUUAAUAUCUCUCAGGUGUUCAUACUUCUAAUCUACCAUGUAGAUGUCGAAGCGUUCAUUAUAAUGUUAGAUUAUUUCAAAUCUAUAUGUGACACAACUUGUCGUCUUUUAAAAAUAAAACACAAAUGUUGAUGUCCUGUGAUUCCCCAAAACAUUGUAUUAAAGAUAAAGAAGAAACCAAA
Long non-coding RNA from Aplysia californica (California sea hare), 832 nucleotides. RefSeq lists it as uncharacterized. The record is from RefSeq and is a predicted model, not a curated record. The transcript has 2 exons. NCBI's taxonomy places the organism in Eukaryota, Metazoa, Mollusca, Gastropoda, Aplysiida, Aplysiidae.